UCUGGGAUAAGCCUGGNANNCUNGGUCUAAUACCGGAUAUGACUCCUCAUCGCAUGGUGGGGGGUGGAAAGCUUUUGUGGUUUUGGAUGGACUCGCGGCCUAUCAGCUUGUUGGUGGGGUAAUGGCCUACCAAGGCGACGACGGGUAGCCGGCCUGAGAGGGUGACCGGCCACACUGGGACUGAGACACGGCCCAGACUCCUACGGGAGGCAGCAGUGGGGAAUAUUGCACAAUGGGCGCAAGCCUGAUGCAGCGACGCCGCGUGAGGGAUGACGGCCUUCGGGUUGUAAACCUCUUUCAGUAGGGAAGAAGCGUAAGUGACGGUACCUGCAGAAGAAGCGCCGGCUAACUACGUGCCAGCAGCCGCGGUAAUACGUAGGGCGCAAGCGUUAUCCGGAAUUAUUGGGCGUAAAGAGCUCGUAGGCGGUUUGUCGCGUCUGCUGUGAAAGACCGGGGCUCAACUCCGGUUCUGCAGUGGGUACGGGCAGACUAGAGUGCAGUAGGGGAGACUGGAAUUCCUGGUGUAGCGGUGAAAUGCGCAGAUAUCAGGAGGAACACCGAUGGCGAAGGCAGGUCUCUGGGCUGUAACUGACGCUGAGGAGCGAAAGCAUGGGGAGCGAACAGGAUUAGAUACCCUGGUAGUCCAUGCCGUAAACGUUGGGCACUAGGUGUGGGGGACAUUCCACGUUUUCCGCGCCGUAGCUAACGCAUUAAGUGCCCCGCCUGGGGAGUACGGCCGCAAGGCUAAAACUCAAAGGAAUUGACGGGGGCCCGCACAAGCGGCGGAGCAUGCGGAUUAAUUCGAUGCAACGCGAAGAACCUUACCAAGGCUUGACAUGAACCGGAAAGACCUGGAAACAGGUGCCCCGCUUGCGGUCGGUUUACAGGUGGUGCAUGGUUGUCGUCAGCUCGUGUCGUGAGAUGUUGGGUUAAGUCCCGCAACGAGCGCAACCCUCGUUCUAUGUUGCCAGCGGUUCGGCCGGGGACUCAUAGGAGACUGCCGGGGUCAACUCGGAGGAAGGUGGGGACGACGUCAAAUCAUCAUGCCCCUUAUGUCUUGGGCUUCACGCAUGCUACAAUGGCCGGUACAAAGGGUUGCGAUACUGUGAGGUGGAGCUAAUCCCAAAAAGCCGGUCUCAGUUCGGAUUGGGGUCUGCAACUCGACCCCAUGAAGUCGGAGUCGCUAGUAAUCGCAGAUCAGCAACGCUGCGGUGAAUACGUUCCCGGGCCUUGUACACACCG
This 1242-nucleotide ribosomal RNA is filed under the name Arthrobacter sp. Its description in RNAcentral is "bacterial SSU rRNA". It matches the Rfam family "Bacterial small subunit ribosomal RNA", at positions 137 to 1392 of the family's 1533-position model. The record is from RNAcentral. Lineage: Bacteria; Bacillati; Actinomycetota; Actinomycetes; Micrococcales; Micrococcaceae.